UACAGGGGGUGCAAACGUUGCUCGGAAUCAUUGGGCGUAAAGAGCGCGCAGGCGGUCGUUCAAGUCGAGUGUGAAAGCCCCCGGCUCAACUGGGGAGGGUCACUCGAUACUGAUCGACUUGAAGGCAGGAGAGGGAAGCGGAAUUCCCGGUGUAGUGGUGAAAUGCGUAGAUAUCGGGAGGAACACCAGUGGCGAAGGCGGCUUCCUGGCCUGUUCUUGACGCUGAGGCGCGAAAGCUAGGGGAGCAAACGGG
Molecule: ribosomal RNA, 253 nt
Filed under: uncultured bacterium
Lineage: Bacteria
Description: partial 16S ribosomal RNA
Rfam family: Bacterial small subunit ribosomal RNA
Source: RNAcentral